This 168-nucleotide ribosomal RNA is filed under the name Rosasphaeria moravica. Its description in RNAcentral is "partial 18S ribosomal RNA". It matches the Rfam family "Eukaryotic small subunit ribosomal RNA", at positions 1665 to 1830 of the family's 1831-position model. Lineage: Eukaryota; Fungi; Ascomycota; Sordariomycetes; Hypocreales; Niessliaceae. The record is from RNAcentral.
CACACCGCCCGUCGCUACUACCGAUUGAAUGGCUCAGUGAGGCGUCCGGACUGGCCCAGAGAGGUGGGCAACUACCACUCAGGGCCGGAAAGUUCUCCAAACUCGGUCAUUUAGAGGAAGUAAAAGUCGUAACAAGGUCUCCGUUGGUGAACCAGCGGAGGGAUCAUU